GGGGCCGAACUGGAUUCGACCGGGCAGCGUCAAGUCUUACGUGGCGCGUCGAGGCGCACGCGGGCCUCGUAAAAAGCGUGCAAAAAAAUGUUCAACGAGCCUUCAUACGCUCUUGCAGCCUAAUAAAUACGGUUGCACGAUUCUUCGGUAACGCCUGCUAGGCGAAGAAUCGAAGACAGCAGGCUAGCGGAGAUCCGAGAUCCUCAGGGGUCAAACCGCGAAGCUCUUCUGCGGAUAGGACAGUGGAAAGCUUGCGAGCGUGCGUUCCACUGUUGAGAUAAACCACUCGAUACACGCGUAGAUGCGUAUUACUGACUGUCACGGGACCGGGGUUCAAUUCCCCGCGGCUCCA
RNAcentral lists this transfer-messenger RNA (352 nucleotides) under Phycisphaerae bacterium. It matches the Rfam family "transfer-messenger RNA". Rfam says of the family: Bacterial tmRNA, also known as 10Sa RNA or SsrA, is named for its dual tRNA and mRNA-like properties. The record is from RNAcentral. Lineage: Bacteria; Pseudomonadati; Planctomycetota; Phycisphaerae.